CACCCCGCCCCUUCCCACCCGGGACUACCGGCGGCUCCGCGGGGUCCGCCCCUUGCGCCCGGGGGUCUGCGGAGCGCGCGGGCCUCCCCAGACCCCUGUCGUCGUCUGACUCCUCCGGGCGUGGGCCGGGGGCUGGCGGCCGGGACCCCCGGCUCUGGGCCUCCCAGUUUGGGCCUCAGUUUCCACAUCCACAAACCGGGGAGAUCCCUUUCUGGAGGCCGAGUGAGCGGGCUCCUCCCCAAAGCAAAGAGAACUCCGAGCCUCGUACUCUUCCCGUCUGAAGUCCGUGGGAACACCAGCUCCAACAGAUCAUUCUGCCCUUUCUUGGAAACAAGAUUCCAGGGAUGUUCUUCCAAAGGGAACCUUAGAUUUUGCGGCGGAACCUGUGUCCAGAUAGGAAGCCUACACACGGAUGGAGGGAGGCUGCCUGAGUGCAGGAAACGAACACGUCUUGACUAACCUCAGCAUUUAGCUGGGAUGCGCCCAGGAUGCCAGUGUUCCCCAGGAACUCCGUGUGAAAACCACUGAACUAGAGUUUGGAAGUUAAAAAAACUGCUCAGCUUCCCGCCUCUGCGAAGUUUGCCCAUCUGUCUGGAAAAAGGCAGUUCAAGCCAUGUUUUUCCCAAGCAAUAGAAAAAGCCAGUCUCAACAAAGCGAGAAGUUUGUCCUAAGAAGCUGGAAGUUUACUUAAGAGAUAUUUCAACAGCCUAUGUCUUCGAAAGUGGGGGAAUUUUUCUUGGAGUAUACCUGCACCAGUAUGCCCACCUUGACUUAAUCGUAUGGGCGUCUACAAGUCUUGUUCAUAAAAUGUGUCGAGCUCGAGGAAGAAAAGGAUAUUUGUUCCAGAUAAAUGAGCCUGUAUGAGAGAAGCAGCUCCUGCAAACCUACGUUUUUGGACGCUGUUGUCCUGCUUUUCUCCUGGGACUACCAGGAAAUGUCAGCUGUCAGAUCAGAGCAAAUCAAAAUUUAAAGAGUCCUAAAUGAAAAAUAAAUGUGUUGUUAUUUGACUUAAUAGUCUCAUUAUUCAUAGAUUUUCUUAAAUUGAUAAGCAGAUAAUAUUAUCACCUAGAAUAUUUGUUUUAUAACCCAAGUCUGUGAUGAACCUGGUAAACACGGCAGAAGUCUUCCCUCUCUUAAUUAGCCUUUUGGGAGAAAACCUGUUUUGAAUCACUGCCUGCAGCCCCGGGAGUCUUAUAAGGAGCAAGAGUAGAUUAAGCUCCGGGAGGGGCACAUGCCGAGAGCUGAUUUUUACAUAUGACUUGGUGAAUCUCAAACAGAAACUGGCUAACAUGCCAGAUGGGACCAGCGUAAAAGUGACAAGACUACAUCAAUGUCAAGGGCAGGGAUCUAAAGGAUUUGACAUAUUAAACAGUUAUACACCAAAAUAUUAUAAAAAACAAAAUUAAAGACAAAUGACUUAAGUUUUAAAAUUUUGCUAUGUGUGUGACAGAGUUGAUGCCAUCUGUACGUAAGAAAUUCUCACAGAUCAAUAAGAAAAAGACAAAUGCCUCAGUAGAAAAAUGACCAAAUAAUAGGAAAGUCACAAAAUAAAAAAUACAAAAGGCUAAUACACCUUUAAUGUCUAGAAUAGUGACUGUCACAUAGCGGGCACUCAGUAAAUACCCACUGUCUGACUGAAUGUCUACGAAAAACAUUUGAUUUCAGGAAUAAUAAAGAACUGCAAAUUAAAAUAACAGUGAAAUAAAUUGUUUUCACCGGCCAGCUUUGUAACACUGAAAAAAAAAAAAAGUACCUGGUGUUGGUAAUGGUGAGGGGAAAUGUACCAAUUACCCACUGUGGGUGGGAGGGUAAAGUGGUAUCAACUUUUCAGUGGAACAGUUGACAAUAUGCAAAAAGCUUUGUCUAAAACCUUUGACACAGCAAUUUACAGGAAGUUAUUAUGAGAAAAUACUUACAAAUGCCCAAACCUACGUGUACAAUAGUAGGGUAGGUGAUAUACAUUUUUGAUUGUUGCUUCUUGGGUCAGUCUUUUAACAUACCCUCUAGGGCUUAGUGGUUGGUGCAUAGACAUGGGUUACAUCCAAGUCAGGCCCCUCCUUCCACCGAAUUAUCCAAGUGGGAGAUGGAAAAGGAGUUCUGUCUUUGUCCUUGGCAUGCUGGCUGUCAGGGUGGGCUCUAGAGCUGACAGCGGCUGUGACCUCCACUGGAAUGUGGCCAAAAUAUAGAAGUAGAAAUGAGACAGACAGACAGAGGGAGAGAGAAAGAGAAAGUGUUCUGGUGAAACUUGAGUCAAUAAAUCCAGUCAGCUUUAAGGCCAGUAUACUUUCUUCCUUUCUGUGGUUUUGUGAACCAGUUAAUUCUACUUUUUUGCUAAAUUUAGCAUGAGCUUGGACUUCCACUUCCUAUCAAGAUGGAGUAAGAGGGGCCAAAUUUACCCACCCACCAGAAACAACUAAAAAUCUAGACAAAAUAUUUUUUUUAAAUAGCCAUUUUCGAGAUAUUGGACAUCAGGCCUGAUGAAAUGGGGAACAAAUGAGGUAAGCCCUGUGAGUGCCCAGCCUACUGCCUUGAGAGAUUUUCCAGAUGGUGGCAUGGAAAGGUGGAAUCUGGGUGGAGCCUCGAAGAUUCCCUGAGGUGAGGAGCUGAAGCUAGAGUCCAGAGAGACCAAGACAGCUAGAGUUUGCAAGACAGAAUACCAGAUAGGAGAGAGCUACACACAGACAGAAAAAUGACAACAACAAAAAUCUAGAGAUCUUCAGAGGGUCCCCCUCACCAGCACACGAAUAUGAGGAAACUGUUCGAGGUCAGGGAAAGAGCCAUCUGAAAGUAUUACACGAACAGUAACAAGAACUCAUACAGGGCCUGAAUAGUGCCUGUUCCCGCUAGCCAGAUUGGAAAUCUUACAAUUCACAAGUCAUUAGGCAAAGUACUCAGAAGAAUUUUGCCUCAGUUGUGGGGCAAAAUUGGCUCUCGACUAAAUGCUGCCCUGGUCCUGCCUAACAAAUUAAAAAAAAAAAAAAAAAAAGACUUGAAAGGAUCAAAUUGUUUCCAAACAACUGUGCCCCAGAACAAACUCAAGAAUUGGGACUACAAAAAUAUCCAGCACUCAGCAAGGUAAGUUCACAGUGAAUGGAAUCAAUGAAAAUUUACUGGGCAUACUGGGAAAUAUGACCCACAAUGAGGAAAGUAAACAAACUGACUCAGAACUGAUGCAGAUAUUAGAAUUAGCAGGCAAAGACAUUAAAACAGCUAUUAUAACUGUUCCCUAGAUUCAGAGGCUCAAGGAAGGAUUGACUACGUUAAGUAGAGAUGUGGAAGAUAUUUUUAAAAGACCCCAAAUCAACUUCUAGAAAUAAAAACUGUAAUGUCUGAGAUAAUGAGUAUACUGGAUGGGAUUAACAGCAGAUUAUUCACAAUGUUUUCAAAGCCCAUCCAUGUUGUAGCAUGUGUUAGUACUUCAUUCAUUUUCAUGCCCGAAUUAUAUUCCAUUGUAUGGA
Long non-coding RNA from Aethalodelphis obliquidens (Pacific white-sided dolphin), 3458 nucleotides. RefSeq lists it as uncharacterized. The record is from RefSeq and is a predicted model, not a curated record. NCBI's taxonomy places the organism in Eukaryota, Metazoa, Chordata, Mammalia, Artiodactyla, Delphinidae. The transcript is spliced from 7 exons.